AUGUCCCGUCUCUCCUCUGGUCCACCCGUCUCUCCUCUGGUCCACCCGUCUCUCCUCUGGUCCACCUGUCUCUCCUCUGGUCCACCCGUCUCUCCUCUGGUCCACCCGUCUCUCCUCUGGUCAGCCUGUCUCUCCUCUGGUCAGCCUGUCUCUCCUCUGGUCAGCCUGUCUCUCCUCUGGUCCACCCGUCUCUCCUCUGGUCCACCCGUCUCUCCUCUGGUCCACCCGUCUCUCCUCUGGUCAGCCUGUCUCUCCUCUGGUCAGCCUGUCUCUCCUCUGGUCAGCCUGUCUCUCCUCUGGUCCACCUGUCUCUCCUCUGGUCAGCCUGUCUCUCCUCUGGUCAGCCUGUCUCUCCUCUGGUCAGCCUGUCUCUCCUCUGGUCCACCCGUCUCUCCUCUGGUCCACCCGUCUCUCCUCUGGUCAGCCCGUCUCUCCUCUGGUCAGCCUGUCUCUCCUCUGGUCCACCCGUCUCUCCUCUGGUCAGCCUGUCUCUCCUCUGGUCCCCGUCUCUCCUCUGGUCAGCCUGUCUCCUCUGGUCCACCCGUCUCUCCUCUGGUCCACCCGUCUCUCCUCUGGUCAGCCUGUCUCUCCUCUGGUCCACCUGUCUCUCUCCUCUGGUCCGCCGCCGUCUCUCCUCUGGUCCGCCUGUCUCUCCUCUGGUCAGCCUGUCUCUCCUCUGGUCCACCCUCUCUCUCUGGUCCACCCGUCUCUCCUCUGGUCCCCUCUCUCCUCUGGUCAGCCUGUCUCUCUCUGGUCCACCCUCUCUCCUCUGGUCAGCCCGUCUCUCCCUCGGUCCACCCGUCUCUCCCUCUCCCUGGUCAGCCUGUCUUCCCCUCCUCUGGUCAGCUGUCUCUCCUCUGGUCCACCCGUCUCUCCUCUGGUCAGCCUGUCUCUCCUCUGGUCCACCUGUCUCUCCUCUGGUCCACCCGUCUCUCCUCUGGUCAGCCUGUCUCUCCUCUGGUCCGCCUGUCUCUCCUCUGGUCCACCUGUCUCUCCUCUGGUCAACCUGUCUGGAGUCCUUCUGGUUUCUGGCUCCUUUGGGAGGUUUUUGUUGCUUGUUUAUCACCUUCAGUUCUGCUAAAACACCCUCCAGAAUUUGAGUACAGCCAUUCAAAUGUUUCACAGCACAAAGGUUGUGGGUUUGAGUCCCUUCCAGAGAACCUCUGUGUUGAGUUUCCAUCUUUCUUCAUCAUGAUAAAUAAACAGCUAUAG
RNAcentral lists this long non-coding RNA (1212 nucleotides) under Takifugu rubripes (torafugu). RNAcentral's name for it is "lncRNA (ENSTRUG00000029615.1)". Lineage: Eukaryota; Metazoa; Chordata; Actinopteri; Tetraodontiformes; Tetraodontidae. The record is from RNAcentral.